RNAcentral lists this small nucleolar RNA (74 nucleotides) under Neogobius melanostomus (round goby). RNAcentral describes it as "Small nucleolar RNA SNORD59 (ENSNMLG00000016755.1)". It matches the Rfam family "Small nucleolar RNA SNORD59". From Rfam's summary of the family: U59 belongs to the C/D class of snoRNA which contain the C (UGAUGA) and D (CUGA) box motifs. Most of the members of the box C/D family function in directing site-specific 2'-O-methylation of substrate RNAs. Lineage: Eukaryota; Metazoa; Chordata; Actinopteri; Gobiiformes; Gobiidae. The record is from Rfam by way of RNAcentral.
CUUUCUAUGAUGAUUGACACAGUGACUUUCGUUCUUCUGAUUAAACUGAAGCUGCUUUAUCUGUCCUGAUAAGA